This is a non-coding RNA of Aegilops tauschii subsp. strangulata, 959 nucleotides long. NCBI's taxonomy places the organism in Eukaryota, Viridiplantae, Streptophyta, Magnoliopsida, Poales, Poaceae. The record is from RefSeq and is a predicted model, not a curated record.
UUCAUGGCUUGUCCAAAAUAACUUUUUGCUACCCAAUCCAUGCUUAAAAAAUGCCGUUUACAUAAUUCUUCCAAGUUAGGUACCCAUAUAUGACACCUUGUGCAUAAUUUGCCCUUAAACCUACCAAACCCGACUCAAAAACAAAGGACACGCAAAAACUCCUCGAUAACUAACUCUUUCGUGGCUCGUCCAACAUAACUUUUUAUAACCCAAUCCAUGCUUAAAAAUGCCGUUCACAUAAUUUUUCCAAAUUAGGUACCCAUAUAUUACAUCUUGUACAGAAUUUGACCUAAAACCGACCAAACGGGACUCGAAAAAAAAGGACACACAAAAACUCCUUGAUAACUACCUCUUUGGUGGCUCGUCCAACAUAACUUUUUGCUACCCAAUCCAUCCUUAAAAAAUGUCGACCAAACGCGACUCGAAAACACAUGACAUGCAAAAACUCCUUGAUAACUACUUCUUUCCUGGCUCGUCCAAAAUAACUUUUUUCUACCCAAUCCAUGCUUAAAAAAUGUUGUUCACAGAAUGUUUCCAAGUUAGGUACCAAUAUCUGACAUCUUGUAUAGAAUUUUCCCUAAAACCGACCAAACGCGACUCAAAAACAAAGGACACGCAAAAACUCUUCGAUAACUACCUCUUUAGUGGCUCGCCCAACAUAAUUUUUUGCUACCCAAUGCAUGCUUAAAAAUGUCGUUCACAAAAUUUUUCCAAGUUAGGUACCCAUAUAUAAGACAUCUUGUAUAGAAUUUUCCCUUGAACCGACCAAACGAGAUUCGAAAACAAAGGACACGCAAUAACUCCUCCAUAACUACCUCUUUCAUGGCUUGUCCAAAAUAACUUUUUGCUACCCAAUCCAUGCUUAAAAAACGCCAUCACAGAAAUUUUCCAAGUUAGGUAACCAUAUAAGACAUCUUGUACAGAAUUUUCCCUAAAACCGACCAAACGCGAGUCCAAAA